ACAGCAGUCGCCGCGGUAAAACCAGCAGCCCAAGUGGUGGUCGCGUUUAUUGGGCCUAAAGCGCUCGUAGCCUGGCCGGUAAGUUCCCCGUGAAAUCGGGUCGCCCAACGAUUCGGCUUGCGGGGAAUACUGUCGGUCUUGGGGCCGGGAGACGCCGAGGGUACUCCGGGGGUAGCGGUGAAAUGCUGUAAUCCUCGGGGGACUACCAGUGGCGAAGGCGCUCGGCGAUAACGGGCCUGACGGUGAGGGGCGAAAGCUGGGGGCGCGAACGGGAUUAGAUACCCCCGUAGUCCCUGUCUCUUAUA
RNAcentral lists this ribosomal RNA (305 nucleotides) under uncultured bacterium. Its description in RNAcentral is "partial 16S ribosomal RNA". It matches the Rfam family "Archaeal small subunit ribosomal RNA", at positions 455 to 759 of the family's 1478-position model. The record is from RNAcentral.